RNAcentral lists this ribosomal RNA (407 nucleotides) under Clostridioides difficile. RNAcentral describes it as "bacterial SSU rRNA". It matches the Rfam family "Bacterial small subunit ribosomal RNA", at positions 1136 to 1533 of the family's 1533-position model. Lineage: Bacteria; Bacillati; Bacillota; Clostridia; Peptostreptococcales; Peptostreptococcaceae. The record is from RNAcentral.
CACUCUAGAGAGACUGCCAGGGAUAACCUGGAGGAAGGUGGGGAUGACGUCAAAUCAUCAUGCCCCUUAUGCUUAGGGCUACACACGUGCUACAAUGGGUAGUACAGAGGGUUGCCAAGCCGUAAGGUGGAGCUAAUCCCUUAAAGCUACUCUCAGUUCGGAUUGUAGGCUGAAACUCGCCUACAUGAAGCUGGAGUUACUAGUAAUCGCAGAUCAGAAUGCUGCGGUGAAUGCGUUCCCGGGUCUUGUACACACCGCCCGUCACACCACGGGAGUUGGAGACGCCCGAAGCCGAUUAGCAAACCUUUUGGAAGAAGUCGUCGACGGUGGAACCAAGUACUGGGGUGAAGGCGUAACAAGGUAGCCGUAGCGGAAGGUGCGGCUGGAUCACAUCCGUUCUAAGGAGA